This 103-nucleotide small nuclear RNA is filed under the name Chinchilla lanigera (long-tailed chinchilla). Lineage: Eukaryota; Metazoa; Chordata; Mammalia; Rodentia; Chinchillidae. The record is from RNAcentral.
GGGCUCACUUGGCAGCACAUAUGCUAAAGUUGGAACAAUACAGAGAUUAGCAUGGCCCUUGCCCAAGGAUGACACGCAAAUUCAUGAAGUGUUCCAUUAAAAA